RNAcentral lists this ribosomal RNA (253 nucleotides) under uncultured bacterium. RNAcentral's name for it is "partial 16S ribosomal RNA". It matches the Rfam family "Bacterial small subunit ribosomal RNA", at positions 524 to 776 of the family's 1533-position model. The record is from RNAcentral.
CACGGGGGGAGCAAGCGUUGUUCGGAUUCAUUGGGCGUAAAGGGCUCGUAGGUGGCUUUGUAAGUCGGAGGUGAAAUCCCACGGCUCAACCGUGGACACGCCUUCGAAACUGUGAAGCUUGAGGCUGGGAGAGGAAAUCGGAAUUCCUGGUGUAGCGGUGAAAUGCGUAGAUAUCUGGAGGAACACCGGUGGCGAAGGCGGCAUCCUGGACCAACACUGACACUGAGGAGCGAAAGCCAGGGGAGCAAACGGG